UGGUGAUUGGGGUGACCGCGAACCUGGCCUGAGACCCCGGAUACUUGAGUUUUCGGGGGUCUAACAUUUUGGGGGCUCGUCCGAUUUGCGACCACCCUUCACCUGAGUGGAUUCGAUCUUGGAGGUUUCUGCUUCUGGCAGACAUCUGAAUAUCAGUUGCUGACUACAGACUGUUCUAAGACUGCGAGCCCUAGACUUGCUGUGAAUGUGAACCAGUUCAGCUGAUGUGGACACCCCCUGUCUCUGCAACAGUGUCUGCUAACCAGAAGCCCCUGAUGGAUUCCCCAUUGCCUAAAUUCCUUUUUGCUUUUGACUAGCAUUUCAACCUUCUGGGGUCCCUAACUUCGUCCCAAAGUCAGCAGGAAGCAGUUUGGAAAAGAAUUUCGGCGUCCAUUUUCCCUGGUUAAAAUGCUAAGUCAAAAGGAACUCCCUUACAUGGGGAUGCCAAUAUCUAUCACUCCCUGAUGGGGAUGCUAGAGAGACAGCAAUUCCAUGAUUGGAAUUUCCAGAAAAGAAAAUGGGGGAAUGAAGGAACCGGCUUCCCUUUUGGCAGCCAUAAUGGUUGAACAUGUGCUUCUAUGACCUUGUCCUAGAAACCAGAAAGUCAGAUGCCUGUCUCGUGACAAGGAACCAAUCAGAAGUUAGCUGGUGGUGCUAUGCUUUACGACCCUGGGUGUGCUUUACGGACAAGCGCACGACAAUGACGUAGAGAGCAUAGCAACCACCCUGGGAGGGCCUAUGAGCCAUAACAACCAGUUGACCAAUCAACACAGGGCAAGCCCUCCAAGCCUGGAGGCACACCAAUCCUCGGGUCUUUCACCCACCCGCCAUGGCGGACAGCUAGAAAAAGACGGCUCCUAAGGUCUCCCCAAAGAUCUUAUAGGGCAGCGUAAGGGGAGUGUCUAGGGGUACGCACAGGCUUACGAUUGGUGUGCCUCCAGGCUUGGAGGGCUUGCCCUGUGUUGAUUGGUCAACUGGUUGUUAUGGCUCAUAGGCCCUCCCAGGGUGGUUGCUAU
RNAcentral lists this long non-coding RNA (1016 nucleotides) under Cricetulus griseus (Chinese hamster). RNAcentral describes it as "lncRNA (ENSCGRG00015033300.1)". Lineage: Eukaryota; Metazoa; Chordata; Mammalia; Rodentia; Cricetidae. The record is from RNAcentral.